This 74-nucleotide transfer RNA is filed under the name Spirochaetia bacterium. RNAcentral describes it as "tRNA-Arg". It matches the Rfam family "tRNA". Rfam says of the family: Transfer RNA (tRNA) molecules are approximately 80 nucleotides in length. Their secondary structure includes four short double-helical elements and three loops (D, anti-codon, and T loops). Lineage: Bacteria; Pseudomonadati; Spirochaetota; Spirochaetia. The record is from RNAcentral. RNAcentral also lists the same sequence under 1 other name.
GCACCCGUAGCUCAAUUGGAUAGAGCGUCGGACUUCGAAUCCGCAGGUUGCAGGUUCGAUCCCUGUCGGGUGUA